GCCAGGUGUGGUGGUGGACACCUGUAAUCCCAGCUACUCAGGAGGCUGAGGCAGGAGAAUUGCUUGAAUCCAGGAGACGGAGGUUGCGGUGAGCCGACACAGUGCCACUGCACUCCACCCUGGGUGACAGAGCAAGACUCUGUCUCAA
This is a non-coding RNA of Pan troglodytes (chimpanzee), 148 nucleotides long. It matches the Rfam family "Metazoan signal recognition particle RNA". Rfam says of the family: The signal recognition particle (SRP) is a universally conserved ribonucleoprotein. It is involved in the co-translational targeting of proteins to membranes. The record is from Rfam. Lineage: Eukaryota; Metazoa; Chordata; Mammalia; Primates; Hominidae.